GCUUCAUAUUCUUUGAGCGAGAAAAGUUCUCUUUUUGUGAAAAAUCAGAAUGCUUGGUUGAAAAUUCUUUUGUUCUUUAAAUGAAGCUAUAUAUCCGAGAUUGGUACUGGAGUUUUAUGAAAAUGCCUAUAUGGAACCUGAUGCACUCAUUUCUAGAGUAAGAGGCAAAGAGUUGCAUGUUUCUAUUGGUCUUCUUCAUCAGUUGCUUUGGUUACCUACUAUGGAUGAAUCUUCAAAUUCACCAAUCUCAAGAAGAGAUGCUCUGGUCCACAUUCUUCAAAGAACUAAUGUCGAAGAGAUAAAAAGUUUGUUUGCCAACUAGGUAUCUUUGGAGAUGCGCCUGCUGCAUAGCUUUGUUUGCAAAAUUUUUG
RNAcentral lists this long non-coding RNA (371 nucleotides) under Elaeis guineensis (African oil palm). Its description in RNAcentral is "long non-coding RNA (EGUI_LNC033134)". The record is from RNAcentral. Lineage: Eukaryota; Viridiplantae; Streptophyta; Magnoliopsida; Arecales; Arecaceae.